RNAcentral lists this ribosomal RNA (770 nucleotides) under uncultured Neocallimastigales. Its description in RNAcentral is "partial large subunit ribosomal RNA". It matches the Rfam family "Eukaryotic large subunit ribosomal RNA", at positions 24 to 635 of the family's 3401-position model. The record is from RNAcentral. Lineage: Eukaryota; Fungi; Neocallimastigomycota; Neocallimastigomycetes; Neocallimastigales.
UAGUCUCGCACAGAUGCAUAUCAAUAAGCGGAGGAAAAGAAACUAACAAGGAUUCCCUCAGUAACGGCGAGUGAAGCGGGAAGAGCUCAAAUUUGAAAUCUUGAAAGGUCACCUUUCACGAAUUGUAGUUUAAAGAAGUGUUUUCUGUUACGAUCGUAAUAUAAGUUCUUUGGAAUAGGACAUCACAGAGGGUGAGAAUCCCGUCUAUGAUUGCGAUUUGUAGCUUUGUGAUACACUUUCAAAGAGUCGGGUUGUUUGGGAAUGCAGCCCAAAACGGGAGGUAAAUUUCUUCUAAGGCUAAAUAUUGGCGAGAGACCGAUAGCGAACAAGUACCGUGAGGGAAAGAUGAAAAGAACUUUGAAAAGAGAGUUAAAUAGUACGUGAAAUUGUCAAAAGGGAAGCGUUUAACACCAGUGUUGUUUUCUGAAAAUCAACCUCUGUUAGCUUUAUGCAUGUUUGUUUAGACCUAAUCAGCUAUCUUGCAUGUUCUAUUGUUUGCAGUGGUGCACUUUUCAGUUUACAGGUCAACAUCAGUUUUUUUUACCGCAAAAAAGUUAAAGAAAGGUAGCUCAUGGCUCCGGUCGUGAGUGUUAUAGUCUUUUUCCUAUGCGGUAGGAGAGACUGAGGUCUGCAGUGUAGGCUAUUUGGCUAGAUACUCAGGUGCUAUGUGAUACCAUUUCAUAAACAACUUGUUGAUUAUGUUUUGUCUAUUGCAUACUCGCUUGUACUAUCAUACCUACGCUUAGGAUGUUGAAGAUGUAGCACAUCAU